Molecule: non-coding RNA, 173 nt
Filed under: bovine gut metagenome
Description: malK-I RNA
Rfam family: malK-I RNA
Source: RNAcentral
GGUGUCCGCCUACUCCACAAAAUAGACGGGCAUACAUACGAAAAGGAGGUUACCUGUUCCGCAGGGCCCGCGGUGCGGCAGUGUGGAGACCUGUCGUAAUGUGGUUCGCUCUUCACCGGGCGACACGAGGGCACGGCAAAGGACCGUCGUGCUCAGGGUCAGACGCAAUGGCA